RNAcentral lists this ribosomal RNA (529 nucleotides) under uncultured bacterium. Its description in RNAcentral is "partial 16S ribosomal RNA". It matches the Rfam family "Bacterial small subunit ribosomal RNA", at positions 355 to 900 of the family's 1533-position model. The record is from RNAcentral.
UGGGGAAUAUUGCACAAUGGGCGAAAGCCUGAUGCAGCAACGCCGCGUGAGUGAUGAAGGUCUUCGGAUUGUAAAGCUCUGUCUUUUGGGACGAUAAUGACGGUACCAAAGGAGGAAGCCACGGCUAACUACGUGCCAGCAGCCGCGGUAAUACGUAGGUGGCGAGCGUUGUCCGGAUUUACUGGGCGUAAAGGGUGCGUAGGCGGAUGUUUAAGUGAGAUGUGAAAUACCCGGGCUUAACUUGGGUGCUGCAUUUCAAACUGGAUAUCUAGAGUGCAGGAGAGGAGAAUGGAAUUCCUAGUGUAGCGGUGAAAUGCGUAGAGAUUAGGAAGAACACCAGUGGCGGAGGCGAUUCUCUGGACUGUAACUGACGCUGAGGCACGAAAGCGUGGGUAGCAAACAGGAUUAGAUACCCUGGUAGUCCACGCCGUAAACGAUGAGUACUAGGUGUAGGAGGUAUCGACCCCUUCUGUGCCGCAGUAAACACAUUAAGUACUCCGCCUGGGAAGUACGAUCGCAAGAUUAAAAC